AUACGGAGGGUGCAAGCGUUAUUCGGAAUCACUGGGCGUAAAGGACGCGUAGGCGGGUUGGCAAGUCAGAUGUGAAAUCCUACAGCUUAACUGUAGAACUGCAUUUGAAACUGCUAACCUAGAGUAUGGGAGGGGGAGAUGGAAUUAGUGGUGUAGGGGUAAAAUCCGUAGAUAUCACUAGGAAUACCGAAAGCGAAGGCGAUCUCCUGGAACAUAACUGACGCUAAGGCGUGAAAGCGUGGGGAGCAAACGGGAUUAGAAACCCCGGUAGUCC
This 274-nucleotide ribosomal RNA is filed under the name uncultured bacterium. RNAcentral's name for it is "partial 16S ribosomal RNA". It matches the Rfam family "Bacterial small subunit ribosomal RNA", at positions 523 to 796 of the family's 1533-position model. The record is from RNAcentral.